GGGGGCGUUCCGGUUUCGACGGGAAUGAAGAAGGCCGGGUUGCACGCCGUGGUUGGUCGAUGGCCACGUAAAAAUCGACCACAAUAGAAUUGCCAACACGCAAUUCACCCCCGCUUACGCCUAGCGCGUAGCGGCGUCCCUUUCCGCCCGCGCCCGUAAGGCGGACAAGGGGCGAAAUCAGUUCGGGCUAGAGGUCGGUGGUUGCCCAUACCAAUCCGGCAUCGAAGAUGAAAUGGGAUGCGUGACCGGUACAGUGGUCGUCCUUGCCGCCCUGGACGACCCCACCAAGCGGUCCGGGCGGAUAAGCGUGUAGAUACCCGCGCUGGAGCAUUUUCGGACGGGGGUUCGACUCCCCCCGCCUCCACCA
This 367-nucleotide transfer-messenger RNA is filed under the name Deltaproteobacteria bacterium. It matches the Rfam family "transfer-messenger RNA". From Rfam's summary of the family: Bacterial tmRNA, also known as 10Sa RNA or SsrA, is named for its dual tRNA and mRNA-like properties. Its role is to liberate the mRNA from a stalled ribosome. RNAcentral also lists the same sequence under 1 other name. The record is from RNAcentral. Lineage: Bacteria; Pseudomonadati; Myxococcota; Myxococcia.